Molecule: ribosomal RNA, 403 nt
Filed under: uncultured bacterium
Lineage: Bacteria
Description: partial 16S ribosomal RNA
Rfam family: Bacterial small subunit ribosomal RNA
Source: RNAcentral
GACGAACGCUGGCGGCGUGCCUAAUACAUGCAAGUCGAACGCAGUGGGGACGGGUGAGUAACACGUGGGUAACCUCCCAUCAGAGGGGAUAACACUUGGAAACAGGUGCUAAACCGAUACUGAUGGAUGGACCCGCGGUGCAUUAGCUAGUUGGUGGGGUAACGGCCCACCAAGGCCACGAUGCAUAGCCGAUCGGAGAGGUGUAGAGGCCACAAUGGGACUGAGACACGGCCAAGACGCCGACGGGAGGAAGCAGUAGGGAAUCUUCGGAAAUGGACGAAAGUCUGACCGAGCAACGCCGCGUGAGUGAAGAAGGGUUUAGGAUCGUAAAGCUCUGUUGUUAGAGAAGCGGUAUCUAACCAGAAAGCCACGGCUAACUACGUGCCAGCAGCCGCGGUAAUUC